CUCCGGUCGCUAACAUCCAACCUUGUGCACUGUUGGCUCGGCGACAGCCAACCUUGUGCGCUCAGUCCCGGGUGGGGUCAGCCACGUGGAUUAGGGGAGGGUCUGCAACGCCGGCCCGGCACCAGGAAGAGGCGGGCGUCCCGCAGGCGUCCUGGGACUGGCGGGCUGCGGACAAAGCACUUCCACGUGCCGCUGGACCGGCCAGCAGAUUACCUGCGAUUGGCUCCCACUGUGGAUCCAGGGUCUGAUGCUGCGCCUGUGUUCCUUCAGAAAAACAAGAUGUAACUGCAGAGGAUAAACACUGGGUGACUCUAAGAUUAAACAAGGUAAAUAAACAUCAGGAUGAGAUGUAAUGCACAGCUUAUGUUCCCUAAAUGGAGAUGAAAACUCAAGCGGGAAGCAGGCUGAUCAGAGAUCCAUGGUUUCUAGGUAAAAAAAUACUAUUCCUUAACCAUGUGAUUAGGGGUAGGUCUGUCCAUGCAUGCUUGUCUGAAAGCCCCUGGACAAAAAGAGGCCCUGGGAAUAUCCCACAUCUUCAGUGACCCCAGCACUCUAUUUCACCAUAGUGUUGAACACACUAAAAGAAUGUGCUUUUAGUGGGUUAGUGGUGCCAGCUUCCUGGUAGCUGGAGUCCAAACAUGGCAAUUUCUUGGUGGAAAGCUGAAGACACACAGUGAUUGACAAGAAGUAGCAUGUGUGAUUCACUGACAACCUGCUGGGUGCAGAGCAGUGCAUCUGGGAUCGGCACAUGACAGGCUGCUAGCGUGGCUGCACAUCGAUUUCUUGAUCUGAGUGUCUCCAGCAGUGUCUGUUACUAAGCUUAAUAUUUGCUUUGUGUAGUUUUCUGUAUCUGUUUUAUUUUUCAGUAAAAAGAAAAUAAAAGGAGGUAAAGAAGCCAUACUUACUCCUUUCUACUAACAGAACAUGUGCUCAGUGAGUGCCCCUUUGAUGACUGCAGACAUGUUGCUUUAAUGGCCAGUUCUCUACUUGGUCUUUUGUUUCCCACACUGUAAUUAUCAGGUCACUCAAAUCACCAGUGGGGUCUCUUCAGUUACAUUAUGGCCCCACUUUGUUCCUGCAAGCAAAGCAAAAGGAAAAGGUAUGCAUCACCUUGAAUUGCUGACCCUGCCAGGAGCCAUUGAUCUUUCCCAAGUUAGGUUAUAGAAACAAGAUUUGAGGAAAUCCAGCAAUAGAGCCAACUAUGUAAUAACUUGAAAACUCUCUUUCUACAACCCUUAGAAAUAGUAGCUUAAAUAUAGCAACUAUCUUUUCAAGUUCAUGGCCAGUAUCACAGGAAAUUUGGGAACUCAGAAGUCCAAAAAUAAAAGGGAACUCAACAUCAGGCCUGUUGGUGAGUGAACUACACUGCCCUGGAAGGGGUUGUGGGUCUGGUCUUGAUCAUAUAGAUAGGACUCUGGAUAUCCACACACGGACACACACACACACAGGACAGUGAGACCUUGCACAAAGCUGAGAUGCACAAAGAACCACAUCCCCAAUGAAACAGUAGUUUGGGGGGGGGGGGGCGCGGAAUCUACCCAUCAGCAAAGAGAAUCAAGUAGCUAUUGAGGUUACUCUGAGCCCUGAGCUAGGGGUGUAAAAGUCUCCCCCGAAGAUUUAUGUUACUGUGGUCCUGCCUGCUGCACACAUGGAGUUUCCGUUUAGGUUCUGCUGCCCCUGAGACCUGGGAACCCCUUAGCUGGGAAGUAAACAUAAAGCCUGGUCUCUGGCCAGAAGUAUCCCAGGGGCACCUGCAGAACCAUAUGCAAAACUGCUCUGGAGGAACAAGGGAACAAACUGAGUGAAUGGAAGCCAGCAGCAUAACAAACAGCAGAUUGGACGCCUAAGAACCUCAGCAGGACUCCCAGAUUCUAUAAUAAAUAUGUUUACAUUACUUAAAACAAAAAUAAGGCCUUCAACGUGUUAGAAUAAGAAUAAAGUGCAAGCCGAUAUGAAAAAGGACUAAAUAAAACUUCUGAAAGUUGAAAUAGACUUGCUGAAAUCAAAAGCUGCACUUUAGAUAAGCAGCAGGUUCAGCACAGCUGAAGAAUUACUGGGUUGGAAACAACUGAGGAUCUUACCAAGAACGCAAUGGAGAUGCAGGAUUGCGGAUACCAAAGAGAGCUUAAGAAAAAUAGAAGAGAGAAUACUAAAGUCUAGUAACUCAUAAUAGGACUUCAAGAAGGAAAAACAAAAUAGAGACUGAGAGGCAAUAUUCAAAGAGAUAUUGACUAAUAAUUUUCCAGAGCUAAAUACAAAAACUCUCCCUUUGGGAAAGAUGAAUAAAAAUAAGUUCACAUCUAGAUAAAAUGCAAAAACUGCAGAACGACAGAACCAGAGAGAUCUUACCAAUGUUCAAAGACAGACCAGACAGAACUGAUUAAAAUUCUCUAACAACAUAAAAGGAAGCAUGUGAUCUGUGCACAAGAUUUGUGUGUGGAGAGCCCCCAGGUUAAGGGAAGGAGACAGGCACCCAUAAAUUCAGCAGCAGAAAUGCCGAACAAGUAGCAGCCUUCUUUAUGGAGGGAAUAAAGGAUGAACUGCACAGAAAAACAAAAUUCCCCAUUCAAGAACAGAUUUUUCUAGCUUCUGGUCUUAUCCCAGGUGUGACCGUUAAUUUCUUUUUCCAACUUUGCUGGCCUAAGGGAGGCUCUGACAGCUGGUAAAGCAGUAUUUCUGCAUGUCUGUGGGGGUGUUUCUGGGAGACAUUAGCAUUUGAUUCAGUAGAGUGAGUAAAGAAGAUCCACCCUUACCAAUGUGGGCAGCAUCAUCCAUCCUUUGGGGGCCCAUCUGGAACAAAAAGGCAAAGAAAGGGCACAAAUUCUCUCUCUUCUUGAGCCAGGAUAUCCAUCUUAUUCCGCCCUCAGAGCUUGAGACUUGGGACUCCAGCAUGUUCACAAGUGGCCUCUGACUUCAGACUAAAGGGAUACCACCAGCUCUCCAGAGCCACAUGUCCCAGUUCCUAUCAUGAAUCUCCCCUUCCUUAUCUCUCUAUCCUACUGCUGUUUCUCAGGAGAGCCUGGACUAAUACACCAGGGCAAAGUCUUCCAUUCUAUAUCCUCUAGCCACCUUGACCUUGAGCUGUUCCCCCCUGCUCCGCCCCUCACUUUAACUCUGUCACUUUCUGAUUCUAUCUGAAAAUUCUUGGCACAAGGAUAUACCCUCAGGACAGAAAACCUAUUAAAUGAUGGCCUCAGUUAAUUCUUCUCCAAAGUUCUCAAACCAAUACUUAGAAUAUGUGUCAGAUUUUCUCUUAUGAGUCCAUUCUGCUGCAUUGAAAUUUACUUUACUUGAAAGAGGGUCCCUUUUUAAUGAAU
Long non-coding RNA from Suricata suricatta (meerkat), 3317 nucleotides. RefSeq lists it as uncharacterized. NCBI's taxonomy places the organism in Eukaryota, Metazoa, Chordata, Mammalia, Carnivora, Herpestidae. The transcript has 3 exons. The record is from RefSeq and is a predicted model, not a curated record.